AGUGAACGCUGGCGGUAGGCCUAACACAUGCGAGUCGAACGGCAGCACAGUAAGAGCUUGCUCUUACGGGUGGCGAGUGGCGGACGGGUGAGGAAUACAUCGGAAUCUACUUUUUCGUGGGGGAUAACGUAGGGAAACUUACGCUAAUACCGCAUACGACCUACGGGUGAAAGCAGUGGAUCUUCGGACCUUGCGCGAUUGAAUGAGCCGAUGUCGGAUUAGCUAGUUGGCGGGGUAAAGGCCCACCAAGGCGACGAUCCGUAGCUGGUCUGAGAGGAUGAUCCGCCACACUGGAACUGAGACACGGUCCAGACUCCUACGGGAGGCAGCAGUGGGGAAUAUUGGACAAUGGGCGCAAGCCUGAUCCAGCCAUACCGCGUGGGUGAAGAAGGCCUUCGGGUUGUAAAGCCCUUUUGUUGGGAAAGAAAAGCAGCAGGUUAAUACCCCGCUGUUCUGACGGUACCCAAAGAAUAAGCACCGGCUAACUUCGUG
RNAcentral lists this ribosomal RNA (492 nucleotides) under uncultured bacterium. RNAcentral describes it as "partial 16S ribosomal RNA". It matches the Rfam family "Bacterial small subunit ribosomal RNA", at positions 29 to 507 of the family's 1533-position model. The record is from RNAcentral.